This 486-nucleotide ribosomal RNA is filed under the name uncultured bacterium. RNAcentral's name for it is "partial 16S ribosomal RNA". It matches the Rfam family "Bacterial small subunit ribosomal RNA", at positions 30 to 507 of the family's 1533-position model. The record is from RNAcentral.
AUUGAACGCUGGCAGCAUGCCUUACACAUGCAAGUCGAACGGCAGCACGGGUGCUCGCACCUGGUGGCGAGUGGCGAACGGGUGAGUAAUACAUCGGAACAUGUCCUGUAGUGGGGGAUAGCCCGGCGAAAGCCGGAUUAAUACCGCAUACGAUCUACGGAUGAAAGCGGGGGACCUUCGGGCCUCGCGCUAUAGGGUUGGCCGAUGGCUGAUUAGCUAGUUGGUGGGGUAAAGGCCUACCAAGGCGACGAUCAGUAGCUGGUCUGAGAGGACGACCAGCCACACUGGGACUGAGACACGGCCCAGACUCCUACGGGAGGCAGCAGUGGGGAAUUUUGGACAAUGGGCGAAAGCCUGAUCCAGCAAUGCCGCGUGUGUGAAGAAGGCCUUCGGGUUGUAAAGCACUUUUGUCCGGAAAGAAAUCCUUGGCCCUAAUACGGUCGGGGGAUGACGGUACCGGAAGAAUAAGCACCGGCUAACUACGUG